UAAGGAAUAUUGGUCAAUGGACGCAAGUCUGAACCAGCCAUGCCGCGUGGAGGAUGAAGGUCCUCUGGAUUGUAAACUUCUUUUAUCUGGGACGAAACACUUCUUUUCUAAGAGGCCUGACGGUACCAGAUGACUAAGCACCGGCUAACUCCGUGCCAGCAGCCGCGGUAAUACGGAGGGUGCAAGCGUUAUCCGGAUUCACUGGGUUUAAAGGGUGCGUAGGUGGGUAUGUAAGUCAGUGGUGAAAUCCCCGAGCUUAACUUGGGAACUGCCAUUGAUACUUUAUAUCUUGAAUACCGUAGAGGUAAGCGGAACAUGUCAUGUAGCGGUGAAAUGCUUAGAUAUGACAUGGAACACCAAUUGCGAAGGCAGCUUACUAUGCGGUGAUUGACACUGAGGCACGAAAGCGUGGGUAGCAAACA
This 422-nucleotide ribosomal RNA is filed under the name uncultured bacterium. Its description in RNAcentral is "bacterial SSU rRNA". It matches the Rfam family "Bacterial small subunit ribosomal RNA", at positions 355 to 774 of the family's 1533-position model. The record is from RNAcentral.